RNAcentral lists this ribosomal RNA (472 nucleotides) under uncultured bacterium. RNAcentral describes it as "bacterial SSU rRNA". It matches the Rfam family "Bacterial small subunit ribosomal RNA", at positions 355 to 825 of the family's 1533-position model. The record is from RNAcentral.
UGGGGAAUAUUGGACAAUGGGGGCAACCCUGAUCCAGCAAUGCCGCGUGUGUGAAGAAGGCCUGCGGGUUGUAAAGCACUUUUGGCAGGGAUGAAAAGCACUGGAUUAAUAACCCAGUGUGUUGACCUAACCUGCAGAAGAAGCACCGGCUAACUCUGUGCCAGCAGCCGCGGUAAUACAGGGGGUGCGAGCGUUAAUCGGAAUUACUGGGCGUAAAGCGUGCGCAGGCGGUUUGGUAAGACAGAUGUGAAAUCCCCGGGCUUAACCUGGGAACUGCCUCUGAUACUGGCUGUCUAGAGUUCGAGAGAGGUGAGUGGAAUUCCUAGUGUAGAGGUGAAAUUCGUAGAUAUUAGGAAGAACACCGGUGGCGAAGGCGGCUCACUGGCUCGAUACUGACACUGAGGUGCGAAAGCGUGGGGAGCAAACAGGAUUAGAUACCCUUGUAGUCCCUGAGCGGGCUGGCAAGGCGCAU